This is an RNA transcript of Vitis vinifera (wine grape), 730 nucleotides long. RefSeq lists it as uncharacterized. The record is from RefSeq and is a predicted model, not a curated record. Lineage: Eukaryota; Viridiplantae; Streptophyta; Magnoliopsida; Vitales; Vitaceae. The transcript is spliced from 2 exons.
AUUUCCGAAUUUAGGUUUUCUCACCUAUUUGAUCAAAUAAUCCAAAAUUUAAAUAAAAUCCUAAAUGACUGAAGUAUCCAUCAUGCACCUGUUGGACAGAAUGGGCAAAUCAAUAAUUUCAAAUCCACAGACGCUAUAUAAAAUAUUAGGUUGGGGUUUUAGGGGUUCCUCUCCUCCGAAGCCGCCGUAAGUGCUCCAAGCCUCUCUUCUUCUCGUCGUCUUCUCUCUUCGCAGUGCAAAAUGGAAUCUGGGGUGAAGCAUGCUGUGGUGGUGAAAGUUAUGGGUCGAACUGGCUCAAGAGGUCAGGUGACCCAGGUGAGGGUGAAGUUUUUGGAUGACCAGAACAGGUUUAUUAUGAGGAAUGUGAAGGGACCUGUCAGAGAAGGAGACAUUCUCACUCUGCUCGAGUCUGAGAGGGAGGCCAGAAGGUUGCGUUGAUGGGGUCAUCUUUGGCUCCAUUUCCAUGUUUUGAUAGGUAUCUUAUGAGUUUUCCAGUUUCAAGCUUGUAGUUUUGGGUUUUUCAAAUUAAAAUUCUGUUUGAGGACGGGUUUUAGUUUUAUGUUUGGAAUGAAUUGGCUUAAUCGAACUCCAUGUUUUUUAAUGAUGCAACUUCUAGCUCAUAGAAUGGAGCAAGAUGUUGUUUCAUGUGGUUGUGAGCAUUUGAGUGUAAGCAUUCCCCAAUCACAUUUGGACAAAUAAUCAUAAUCAAUGGAUAUGUUAUUUCUGAUUU